UACAGAGGGUGCAAACGUUGCUCGGAAUUAUUGGGCGUAAAGAGCUCGUAGGCGGCUUGUCACGUCGGAUGUGAAAGCCCGGGGCUUAACCCCGGGUCUGCAUUCGAUACGGGCUAGCUAGAGUGUGGUAGGGGAGAUCGGAAUUCCUGGUGUAGCGGUGAAAUGCGCAGAUAUCAGGAGGAACACCGGUGGCGAAGGCGGUUCUCUGGGCAUGUCCUGACGCUGAGGAGCGAAAGUGUGGGGAGCGAACAGG
This 253-nucleotide ribosomal RNA is filed under the name uncultured bacterium. RNAcentral describes it as "partial 16S ribosomal RNA". It matches the Rfam family "Bacterial small subunit ribosomal RNA", at positions 524 to 776 of the family's 1533-position model. The record is from RNAcentral.